This 513-nucleotide ribosomal RNA is filed under the name uncultured bacterium. RNAcentral's name for it is "partial 16S ribosomal RNA". It matches the Rfam family "Bacterial small subunit ribosomal RNA", at positions 28 to 523 of the family's 1533-position model. The record is from RNAcentral.
GAUGAACGCUGGCGGCGUGCCUAAUACAUGCAAGUCGAGCGAACAGAUAAGGAGCUUGCUCCUUUGAAGUUAGCGGCGGACGGGUGAGUAACACGUGGGUAACCUACCUAUAAGACUGGGAUAACUUCGGGCAACCGGAGCUAAUACCGGAUAACAUUUAGAACCGCAUGGUUAUAAAGCGAAAGAUGGUAUUGCUAUCAAUUAUAGAUGGACCCGCGCCGUAUGAGCAGGUUGGUAAGGUAACGGCUUACCAAGGCGACGUAACGUAGCCGACCGGGGAGGGUGAUCGGCCACACGGGAACUGAGACACGGCCCAGACUCCUACGGGAGGCAGCAGUAGGGAAUCUUCCGCAAUGGGCGAAAGCCUGACGAAGCAACGCCGCGUGAGUGAUGAAGGGUUUCGGCUCGUAAAACUCUGUUAUUAGGGAAGAACAAAUGUGUAAGUAACUGUGCACAUCUUGACGGUACCUAAUCAGAAAGCCACGGCUAACUACGUGCCAGCCGCCGCUGUAA